CCUCUUGUUUGUUGAUGUCAGCCACAGCAGAAAGAAGCACUCCAUAGGCCCUGUGCUCAGCACCUUGGCGUGAGCUCUUGCAAUCUUCUGUUCAUCCUCAUCACAGCUCUGUGCAGUGGGCGUCCUCCUGAUCCCGGUGGGAGGAUGGAGGAUGGAGGCGGAACGAUUUCUUUGCAUGGUCUCCCUUAUCCAGACGUGAGGGUGAACGCUGAGUUAUUCACGGGAGUCAAGAAACCACACGCAGCCCAAAGAGACGUUUGUUUCCCUGGAAUGAUUUGUGUGUGUUCACCUUAAAAUGCAACUCAGUAAAACAGGUGUGUUUUGAGGAAUGACUUUAAAUUACCCAGGUAAAAAUGUGACAGUUAAAUUUCAUCAUCUGUGCGGGUGUCCACAACCCCCUUCUGUGAUUGCGUGUGAGUUUGUGACUUGUGGUUAUUUUUGAAGAAAGAAAAUCUGUUGCUGAGGACUUCAGAGGGUGUGCUGGGAUUGUGUAGGGUGGACAUCGAGGGCUUCAGUGUGUGGCUUCCUUGAAGAGGUUCAAAUUAAGGCUGAGAGUCCCUACUCCAAAAUGCUCUGAAACCUGAAACAUUUCGAGCUUCCCCAUGACACUCGAAGGAAAUACCCUUCAGAGCACUUUGGAUUUCAGUCUGGGGAUGCUCAACUGGAAAGUGAAAUAUUGCAAGACUCUUCUGGCC
Molecule: long non-coding RNA, 695 nt
Filed under: Macaca mulatta (Rhesus monkey)
Lineage: Eukaryota; Metazoa; Chordata; Mammalia; Primates; Cercopithecidae
Description: lncRNA (ENSMMUG00000039585.2)
Source: RNAcentral